GCUAGGAUAGUUUAAUAGGUAAGAACAUUAAUUUCAUGCAUUAAGAAUGAGAAUUCGAAUUUCUCUCCUGGCU
Transfer RNA from Phaeomoniella chlamydospora, 73 nucleotides. It matches the Rfam family "tRNA". Rfam says of the family: Transfer RNA (tRNA) molecules are approximately 80 nucleotides in length. Their secondary structure includes four short double-helical elements and three loops (D, anti-codon, and T loops). The record is from Rfam. NCBI's taxonomy places the organism in Eukaryota, Fungi, Ascomycota, Eurotiomycetes, Phaeomoniellales, Phaeomoniellaceae.